UUAAUUUGAGAGUUUGAUCCUGGCUCAGGACGAACGCUGGCGGCGUGCCUAAUACAUGCAAGUCGAACGAACUCUGGUAUUGAUUGGUGCUUGCAUCAUGAUUUACAUUUGAGUGAGUGGCGAACUGGUGAGUAACACGUGGGAAACCUGCCCAGAAGCGGGGGAUAACACCUGGAAACAGAUGCUAAUACCGCAUAACAACUUGGACCGCAUGGUCCGAGUUUGAAAGAUGGCUUCGGCUAUCACUUUUGGAUGGUCCCGCGGCGUAUUAGCUAGAUGGUGGGGUAACGGCUCACCAUGGCAAUGAUACGUAGCCGACCUGAGAGGGUAAUCGGCCACAUUGGGACUGAGACACGGCCCAAACUCCUACGGGAGGCAGCAGUAGGGAAUCUUCCACAAUGGACGAAAGUCUGAUGGAGCAACGCCGCGUGAGUGAAGAAGGGUUUCGGCUCGUAAAACUCUGUUGUUAAAGAAGAACAUAUCUGAGAGUAACUGUUCAGGUAUUGACGGUAUUUAACCAGAAAGCCACGGCUAACUACGUGCCAGCAGCCGCGGUAAUACGUAGGUGGCAAGCGUUGUCCGGAUUUAUUGGGCGUAAAGCGAGCGCAGGCGGUUUUUUAAGUCUGAUGUGAAAGCCUUCGGCUCAACCGAAGAAGUGCAUCGGAAACUGGGAAACUUGAGUGCAGAAGAGGACAGUGGAACUCCAUGUGUAGCGGUGAAAUGCGUAGAUAUAUGGAAGAACACCAGUGGCGAAGGCGGCUGUCUGGUCUGUAACUGACGCUGAGGCUCGAAAGUAUGGGUAGCAAACAGGAUUAGAUACCCUGGUAGUCCAUACCGUAAACGAUGAAUGCUAAGUGUUGGAGGGUUUCCGCCCUUCAGUGCUGCAGCUAACGCAUUAAGCAUUCCGCCUGGGGAGUACGGCCGCAAGGCUGAAACUCAAAGGAAUUGACGGGGGCCCGCACAAGCGGUGGAGCAUGUGGUUUAAUUCGAAGCUACGCGAAGAACCUUACCAGGUCUUGACAUACUAUGCAAAUCUAAGAGAUUAGACGUUCCCUUCGGGGACAUGGAUACAGGUGGUGCAUGGUUGUCGUCAGCUCGUGUCGUGAGAUGUUGGGUUAAGUCCCGCAACGAGCGCAACCCUUAUUAUCAGUUGCCAGCAUUAAGUUGGGCACUCUGGUGAGACUGCCGGUGACAAACCGGAGGAAGGUGGGGAUGACGUCAAAUCAUCAUGCCCCUUAUGACCUGGGCUACACACGUGCUACAAUGGAUGGUACAACGAGUUGCGAACUCGCGAGAGUAAGCUAAUCUCUUAAAGCCAUUCUCAGUUCGGAUUGUAGGCUGCAACUCGCCUACAU
Molecule: ribosomal RNA, 1355 nt
Filed under: Lactiplantibacillus plantarum
Lineage: Bacteria; Bacillati; Bacillota; Bacilli; Lactobacillales; Lactobacillaceae
Description: bacterial SSU rRNA
Rfam family: Bacterial small subunit ribosomal RNA
Source: RNAcentral